Molecule: transfer RNA, 60 nt
Filed under: marine eukaryotic metagenome
Rfam family: tRNA
About the family: Transfer RNA (tRNA) molecules are approximately 80 nucleotides in length. Their secondary structure includes four short double-helical elements and three loops (D, anti-codon, and T loops). Further hydrogen bonds mediate the characteristic L-shaped molecular structure. tRNAs have two regions of fundamental functional importance: the anti-codon, which is responsible for specific mRNA codon recognition, and the 3' end, to which the tRNAs corresponding amino acid is attached (by aminoacyl-tRNA synthetases). tRNAs cope with the degeneracy of the genetic code in two manners: having more than one tRNA (with a specific anti-codon) for a particular amino acid; and 'wobble' base-pairing, i.e. permitting non-standard base-pairing at the 3rd anti-codon position.
Source: RNAcentral
GAUUAGCUCAGUUGGUAGAGCAGCUGACUCUUAAUCAGCGGGUCCGGGGUUCGAAUCCCC